UAUAUUUAAAGUAGAGUGAUACUAUCAAACAUACUGUUUGCAAAUUAAACCCCCAUCUCCAGUACAUAAAUGCCUGCCUAGCACAUUCCUGUGAUACUAUCUCCCUUCAUUUGUGCAACCAAAGAGUGUUGAGCUCCUCUCCGAAUUAACAUAUAAACAGGAUGUUAAGGAAUGAUGAAGUCAGACGAGCAACCAAGCCAUCAAGAUUUAAGAACACAUGAAAGAGAACAAGUACCAACUAGAGCUUUAUGUAUGCACGAGCAUCUGAGCCACAUAUCAAGGCUCGAUUGACCACAAACAUAGUUUUAAUCUACAAAGUCUUUGCAUCGUCGGAUCAACCAGCGGCAGAGUUAAUAUAUGUUAUGGUUUCAAAUUAAUUGAUACUUUAACCAUUAAGAAGCUUUUAAGUUGCCAUCAACCAAUAUAUAUAUAUAUAUAUAUAUAUAUGAUGUAUUCUUGUAGUUCAUGUUGCUAUGACUGGUUUAAAAGAAUAUGUUUUUAGAUUGUUAUUGUCUUGUUAAGUAGUUUUACUAUUCUUGUGUUCUUACAAUUUUUUUUCAGAAACUUUUCAUGUUUUUCGACUAAUUAUUUUGACGAUUCUAUUGUCUAAGGGUCUCCUAUUAUCCCGAAGGAAGAUAUCUCUUUUCGAUCGCUACAGUGAACUCUAGCCGACUCAAAUCAAAUACCCAAAUUUGCCUGCUAUUCAGAUUCGAAAGAGUCCUCCGGAAUAUAUUCCCGUGGAGGUUACUUACUCUUACUAUCAUUCUGCAUCUUUUCAUUUUAUUUUCCAACUUUUCUAUGGCUAUUAUCUCUCUCCGUGUACUUUUUUUCCUUUCUGAUGUAUUUAAUUUCAGUUAUUCAAAACUGCCCCGGGACAAAGACACAAAAGUACACUAAAUGCCAGAGAGGUCGUAGGGAUGCGAAGAAGGUAUGUAUACGUCAGAUCUGUCUUACAUAAACCAGUCCAGGUCGCAGUUGAUUUCACGUGCCUUUUAAUUAGAUGUCGCUUUUAAAUACAAAUGUUAAAAGCCCGUGAAAUCAAUUGCGACCUGAACUGGCUUUAUGUAAAACAAAUCUGACGAAUACAUGCCUUCUUAAUAAUUUUCUCUAUCAGCAGGUCUUUGAUAAUCUUUUUUGCAUCGCAACGACCUGCCUGGCUUUUAGUGUACUUUUGUAUCUUUGUCCCGGGACAAUUUUGAAUAACUGAAAUUAAAUACAUCAGAAAGGAAAAAGAAGUACACGAAGAGAGAUAAUAGUCAUAGAAAAAUUGGAAAAUAAAAUGAAAAGAUGCAGAAUAACAAUAACAGUAACCUCCAUGGAAAUAUAUUCAGGAGGACUCUUCGAAUCUGAAUAGCAGGGUCGGGUAGAGUUCACUGAAGCGAUCGAAAAGAGAUAUCUCCCCUUCGGGAUAAUGGGAGACCCUUAAACAACGGAAUCGUCAAAAUAAUUAGUCAAAAACAUGAAAAGUUCCUGAAAAGAAAUUAUAAGAACAACACAAGAAAAGUAAAACUACUUAACAAGGCAAUAACAAUCUAAGAACAUAUUAUUUAAACUAGUCAUAGCAACAUAUAUAGAACUACAAGAUUGGUUAAGAACUAUUGACUGUAAACCAUAGCAGUUACAGUCACUCAAUGGAGAUGUUCGCCUUUGUUUGGAAUGAAGAUGGAUGAUCAGGCACUUGAGCCUGGAACUGAUGAAAUUCGGGGAAAACAUGGAAGCAUAUAUAUAUAACAACCGGUGAUGGUUGAUAGCAACUUAAAAGCUUCUUAAUGUUUAAAGCAUCAAUUAACUGAAACCAUAACAUACAUUAACUCGCCGCUGGUUGAUCGGACAAUGCAAAGACUUUGUAGAGAUCCACUACAGUAUGCAACUUACUUGUCAAUUUGAACAACCAAGAAAGUCAAAAGUUCAUAGGAGCGCCUAAUAAAAUGAUACUUCAAGAACUGGUGCAGGGCUUUAAUAGUUUGUUGUCACAAUCCCGUCUCCGGAUAGAUGUAUGUAAGAAUCAUUAAAGAAGAACGUCAACAAUCAGCAAGUUGGACCUUCAGUUUGCAGCCAUCUCUUAGACAUACAAUUAUGCCUACGGAACACAACUGCACUCCGAAGUUAGGUCAA
This 2115-nucleotide long non-coding RNA is filed under the name Nicotiana tabacum (common tobacco). RNAcentral describes it as "long non-coding RNA (NTAB_LNC002364)". Lineage: Eukaryota; Viridiplantae; Streptophyta; Magnoliopsida; Solanales; Solanaceae. The record is from RNAcentral.